RNAcentral lists this ribosomal RNA (379 nucleotides) under Lactiplantibacillus plantarum. RNAcentral describes it as "bacterial SSU rRNA". It matches the Rfam family "Bacterial small subunit ribosomal RNA", at positions 80 to 455 of the family's 1533-position model. Lineage: Bacteria; Bacillati; Bacillota; Bacilli; Lactobacillales; Lactobacillaceae. The record is from RNAcentral.
UUUACAUUUGAGUGAGUGGCGAACUGGUGAGUAACACGUGGGAAACCUGCCCAGAAGCGGGGGAUAACACCUGGAAACAGAUGCUAAUACCGCAUAACAACUUGGACCGCAUGGUCCAGUUUGAAAGAUGGCUUCGGCUAUCACUUUUGGAUGGUCCCGCGGCGUAUUAGCUAGAUGGUGGGUAACGGCUCACCAUGGCAAUGAUACGUAGCCGACCUGAGAGGGUAACGGCCACAUUGGGACUGAGACACGGCCCAAACUCCUACGGGAGGCAGCAGUAGGGAAUCUUCCACAAUGGACGAAAGUCUGAUGGAGCAACGCCGCGUGAGUGAAGAAGGGUUUCGGCUCGUAAAACUCUGUUGUUAAAGAAGAACAUAUC